RNAcentral lists this ribosomal RNA (253 nucleotides) under uncultured bacterium. RNAcentral's name for it is "partial 16S ribosomal RNA". It matches the Rfam family "Bacterial small subunit ribosomal RNA", at positions 524 to 776 of the family's 1533-position model. The record is from RNAcentral.
UACGUAGGGGGCUAGCGUUGUCCGGAUUUAUUGGGCGUAAAGAGCGUGUAGGCGGCCAGGUAGGUCUGGUGUGAAAACUCGAGGCUUAACCUCGAGAUGUCAUCGGAAACCAUCUGGCUAGAGUCCGGAAGAGGAGAGUGGAAUUCCUGGUGUAGCGGUGAAAUGCGCAGAUAUCAGGAAGAACACCAAUGGCGAAAGCAGCUCUCUGGGACGGUACUGACGCUGAGACGCGAAAGCGUGGGGAGCGAACGGG